GUUGACCUCGGAUCAGUAGAACCCGGCGANUGAACUUUCAAGCAUAUCAAUAAGCA
Molecule: ribosomal RNA, 56 nt
Filed under: Colletotrichum magnum
Lineage: Eukaryota; Fungi; Ascomycota; Sordariomycetes; Glomerellales; Glomerellaceae
Description: partial 28S ribosomal RNA
Source: RNAcentral